This 253-nucleotide ribosomal RNA is filed under the name uncultured bacterium. RNAcentral's name for it is "partial 16S ribosomal RNA". It matches the Rfam family "Bacterial small subunit ribosomal RNA", at positions 524 to 776 of the family's 1533-position model. The record is from RNAcentral.
UACGAAGGGGGCUAGCGUUGCUCGGAAUCACUGGGCGUAAAGCGCACGUAGGCGGCUUGUUAAGUCAGGGGUGAAAUCCUGGAGCUCAACUCCAGAACUGCCUUUGAUACUGGCGAGCUUGAGUUCGGGAGAGGUGAGUGGAAUUCCUAGUGUAGAGGUGAAAUUCGUAGAUAUUAGGAAGAACACCGGUGGCGAAGGCGGCCCACUGGAUCGGUACUGACGCUGAGGUGCGAAAGCGUGGGGAGCAAACAGG